RNAcentral lists this long non-coding RNA (425 nucleotides) under Brachypodium distachyon (stiff brome). Its description in RNAcentral is "long non-coding RNA (BDIS_LNC001791)". Lineage: Eukaryota; Viridiplantae; Streptophyta; Magnoliopsida; Poales; Poaceae. The record is from RNAcentral.
UGAUACUUGGGAGAGAGAGGUGUGAUGUGCUGGGUUUAAACAACCAAAGGUAUGGUAGAAGUUUGCGAACGUGCAAAAGCUAAAAGCCAAAACGUACUACAGCAAAUGUUGGAUUGGAUCCAACUCUCCAUAUACAAAACCCCAUGUCAGUGUGUAGCUGUUGCUAUCUUCUGGCAUAGUAUAAUCUUUUUUUUUUGUUUCAGACAUUGCAUGUACAUGUCUCCGGUCAUUUUUAAUUAAUUAACCGUACAUUUUUCACUCACAUGCAUGCAUGUAGAAUUUCACACGCAUAUGCUUCGCCUAGAGGCAACUGAUAAUUGGUGCCACCGAUGUGGCAAAAGCGACCCCCAAUAUCUUUACAAGCCAAAUGAGCACCAAUUGUAACAUGGGCCUUGUGAAAGGUGAAAAGUUACAAGAGAAAGCUG